GGAGAGAUGGCCGAGUGGUUUAAGGCGCACGCUUGGAAAGUGUGUGUACCCUCACAGGUACCCAGGGUUCGAAUCCCUGUCUCUCCGCCA
RNAcentral lists this transfer RNA (90 nucleotides) under Candidatus Pelagibacter sp. RNAcentral's name for it is "tRNA-Ser". It matches the Rfam family "tRNA". From Rfam's summary of the family: Transfer RNA (tRNA) molecules are approximately 80 nucleotides in length. Their secondary structure includes four short double-helical elements and three loops (D, anti-codon, and T loops). Further hydrogen bonds mediate the characteristic L-shaped molecular structure. tRNAs have two regions of fundamental functional importance: the anti-codon, which is responsible for specific mRNA codon recognition, and the 3' end, to which the tRNAs corresponding amino acid is attached (by aminoacyl-tRNA synthetases). tRNAs cope with the degeneracy of the genetic code in two manners: having more than one tRNA (with a specific anti-codon) for a particular amino acid; and 'wobble' base-pairing, i.e. permitting non-standard base-pairing at the 3rd anti-codon position. Lineage: Bacteria; Pseudomonadati; Pseudomonadota; Alphaproteobacteria; Candidatus Pelagibacterales; Candidatus Pelagibacteraceae. The record is from RNAcentral.